RNAcentral lists this long non-coding RNA (1207 nucleotides) under Triticum aestivum (bread wheat). RNAcentral describes it as "long non-coding RNA (TAES_LNC015862)". Lineage: Eukaryota; Viridiplantae; Streptophyta; Magnoliopsida; Poales; Poaceae. The record is from RNAcentral.
AUACAAUCAAAAAGAGUCAAACGUGGCACAUUAUUACAAUCAAACUUGUUCAUCCUGGUAACACGGCAAGGAUGAUUCAUCCUGGUAACACAUUAUUACAGAAAAAUAUGGUUCACAUCAAGUUUACAAUAAAAAAAUGUUCACAUCAGGUAACACAACUAUCACAGUAUAACUAGCUCCAAUGCUUCUCCCAACUUGUUCAUCCUGGACCUCACGGCAAAACAUGAAUGAAGGCCAGCAUCUGCAAGUUAUCAAGAAAAAUGGUUAGAACAAGCAAAAUGCGACAUUUUUACCAUUUAAGCAUAGAAGAACAGGGUCAACAACAUUUAGAUCUUUGAAAAUGAACCAGGAUUUCAAUCUUUGAACAGCAAAAAAUUGAUACAGUAGAUCAUUUGCGGUUUAAAACAACCCCUAAGGAGACACAUGUUGACACAUUCAUUUGGCAACAUCUGUAGAAAUUGAACCUCAUAAACAUGCAAUGUGGAAUUUGUAUAUCAAAGAAGUAUACAUACUUAUCAGGUUUAAUUAGCACAUAAACAUGCAAUGUGGAAUUUGUAUCUCAAAGAAGUAUACAUACUUAUCAGGUUUAAUUAGCACAGAGAAGCCAAAUGCUAGUAACUCAUGAUUAGUACACAAGACAGGAUCCAGCCCUCCUUUUGCGAUUGAGCAACAACACCCGAGGAAAUUAAAAGAAAGCAGCCCCCCAAUUCCAUUUCUAUUUUAUUACACACAUGGUGCAUACAGACUACCACUGUAAAAAAAAUACAAGAACAUGAAUGAGCAGCAGAGAAACAGAAAGUCAAUGAAGGGAGCCACAUCUCUCACUGAAUUUUAUCAGCAGUACUACAUGUUUUUCUUCCUGACAGUGAGCAGCACCACAAGUUCAUAACACACACAGGUGGUGUUCAGCAAUUGGUGACAUAAUUGCCACCCUCUUAUCUUAGCUAGUUCAGUGUAGCUAAAAGUAAACACUUCAGAACAAAUAAAGUAACAAUUCAGUGUGACUACAAGGAACAGAAAUGUAUGCGUACCUCAUGGAGGAGUGGAGGUUGGCGAAGGCGAGGGCGUCGUCGGGGCGGCCAGAGUCGAUACUCCUCCCAUGUCAUCCGCUGCAUCCUCUCAUGCUCCUGCAUGUACGUGUCCACCUGCACCCGUCGCAACCCAAUCUUAGUAAGCUUCACUCUGAAUAAAAUCAGCAAUCUAAGAC